AAAUUGAAGAGUUUGAUCAUGGCUCAGAUUGAACGCUGGCGGCAGGCCUAACACAUGCAAGUCGAGCGGUAGCACAGAGAGCUUGCUCUCGGGUGACGAGCGGCGGACGGGUGAGUAAUGUCUGGGAAACUGCCUGAUGGAGGGGGAUAACUACUGGAAACGGUAGCUAAUACCGCAUAACGUCGCAAGACCAAAGUGGGGGACCUUCGGGCCUCAUGCCAUCAGAUGUGCCCAGAUGGGAUUAGCUAGUAGGUGGGGUAAUGGCUCACCUAGGCGACGAUCCCUAGCUGGUCUGAGAGGAUGACCAGCCACACUGGAACUGAGACACGGUCCAGACUCCUACGGGAGGCAGCAGUGGGGAAUAUUGCACAAUGGGCGCAAGCCUGAUGCAGCCAUGCCGCGUGUGUGAAGAAGGCCUUCGGGUUGUAAAGCACUUUCAGCGGGGAGGAAGGCGUUAAGGUUAAUAACCUUGGCGAUUGACGUUACCCGCAGAAGAAGCACCGGCUAACUCCGUGCCAGCAGCCGCGGUAAUACGGAGGGUGCAAGCGUUAAUCGGAAUUACUGGGCGUAAAGCGCACGCAGGCGGUCUGUCAAGUCGGAUGUGAAAUCCCCGGGCUCAACCUGGGAACUGCAUUCGAAACUGGCAGGCUAGAGUCUUGUAGAGGGGGGUAGAAUUCCAGGUGUAGCGGUGAAAUGCGUAGAGAUCUGGAGGAAUACCGGUGGCGAAGGCGGCCCCCUGGACAAAGACUGACGCUCAGGUGCGAAAGCGUGGGGAGCAAACAGGAUUAGAUACCCUGGUAGUCCACGCCGUAAACGAUGUCGAUUUGGAGGUUGUGCCCUUGAGGCGUGGCUUCCGGAGCUAACGCGUUAAAUCGACCGCCUGGGGAGUACGGCCGCAAGGUUAAAACUCAAAUGAAUUGACGGGGGCCCGCACAAGCGGUGGAGCAUGUGGUUUAAUUCGAUGCAACGCGAAGAACCUUACCUGGUCUUGACAUCCACAGAACUUAGCAGAGAUGCUUUGGUGCCUUCGGGAACUGUGAGACAGGUGCUGCAUGGCUGUCGUCAGCUCGUGUUGUGAAAUGUUGGGUUAAGUCCCGCAACGAGCGCAACCCUUAUCCUUUGUUGCCAGCGGUCCGGCCGGGAACUCAAAGGAGACUGCCAGUGAUAAACUGGAGGAAGGUGGGGAUGACGUCAAGUCAUCAUGGCCCUUACGACCAGGGCUACACACGUGCUACAAUGGCAUAUACAAAGAGAAGCGACCUCGCGAGAGCAAGCGGACCUCAUAAAGUAUGUCGUAGUCCGGAUUGGAGUCUGCAACUCGACUCCAUGAAGUCGGAAUCGCUAGUAAUCGUAGAUCAGAAUGCUACGGUGAAUACGUUCCCGGGCCUUGUACACACCGCCCGUCACACCAUGGGAGUGGGUUGCAAAAGAAGUAGGUAGCUUAACCUUCGGGAGGGCGCUUACCACUUUGUGAUUCAUGACUGGGGUGAAGUCGUAACAAGGUAACCGUAGGGGAACCUGCGGUUGGAUCACCUCCUUA
RNAcentral lists this ribosomal RNA (1540 nucleotides) under Klebsiella pneumoniae. RNAcentral's name for it is "bacterial SSU rRNA". It matches the Rfam family "Bacterial small subunit ribosomal RNA". Lineage: Bacteria; Pseudomonadati; Pseudomonadota; Gammaproteobacteria; Enterobacterales; Enterobacteriaceae. The record is from RNAcentral.